GACGAACGCUGGCGGCGUGCUUAACACAUGCAAGUCGAACGGAAAGGCCCUGCUUUUUGGGGGUGCUCGAGUGGCGAACGGGUGAGUAACACGUGAGUAACCUGCCCUUGACUUUGGGAUAACUUCAGGAAACUGGGGCUAAUACCGGAUAGGAGCUCCUGCUGCAUGGUGGGGGUUGGAAAGUUUCGGCGGUUGGGGAUGGACUCGCGGCUUAUCAGCUUGUUGGUGGGGUAGUGGCUUACCAAGGCUUUGACGGGUAGCCGGCCUGAGAGGGUGACCGGCCACAUUGGGACUGAGAUACGGCCCAGACUCCUACGGGAGGCAGCAGUGGGGAAUAUUGCACAAUGGGCGGAAGCCUGAUGCAGCAACGCCGCGUGCGGGAUGACGGCCUUCGGGUUGUAAACCGCUUUCGCCUGUGACGAAGCGUGAGUGACGGUAAUGGGUAAAGAAGCACCGGCUAACUACGUG
This 468-nucleotide ribosomal RNA is filed under the name uncultured bacterium. RNAcentral describes it as "partial 16S ribosomal RNA". It matches the Rfam family "Bacterial small subunit ribosomal RNA", at positions 28 to 507 of the family's 1533-position model. The record is from RNAcentral.